UUGGCUCAAAAAACAUUAAUUCAUUAGCACAACCAUCAAUCCAAUAACAAUAGAUACCCUAAGAUUAAAAGGUUUCCAAGAACAUCGAAGAAAAUAUUUUGGCAACAGUAAUUAUUCGAAGACAACAAAAAAUGCAAAUGAAAUAGAUGAAUUAGACCUCCUCCUAAUCCCCAUCAAAGCAGAUGAAGCGAACAAUCUUCUCAUCCACAUCAAAGCAGAUGAUGCAGGCAACACAUGUCCUCCUCACCAGCUUCACCAAAACCACGGGCCCUGCCAUUAUUGCCACCACCACCGUGUCCCUCUUCUUUGGCGGUCUCCCCCUCCUCUUCACCCACCACCAUCAUCACCUCGGUCCAUGGAUCAUCGACUACAGUCCCUUAGGGGGCCGCUCCACUAUCGGUGGGUGCUUCCAAAUAGGCGCACACAUAUAGAACAUAGUGAGAUAUUUCAGCUCUACCCUCAAAAUUUGCCAACAAAUUGCAGAGAGUGAAGGUGUGCUCACUAGAGAGAGAGGAUGUGCUGAGACCAGUAGGAUGAUGGCGACAUUGCUCAUGGGGUGGGAUCCAUGGUGCUUGGUGCAGGUGGUGGGUGAGCUCGUGAAGAGAAGCGAGGGGCGGC
RNAcentral lists this long non-coding RNA (618 nucleotides) under Oryza brachyantha (malo sina). RNAcentral describes it as "long non-coding RNA (OBRA_LNC000365)". The record is from RNAcentral. Lineage: Eukaryota; Viridiplantae; Streptophyta; Magnoliopsida; Poales; Poaceae.